GAUGUGAUGUAAUGGCGGGAAAAAGGUGUCUCUCUGUCUCUGUCUUGCAAGUUUCUGCCUUGCUGUUGGCAGCUGCCAUGAACUGCCGCCCACCAUGCCACCUGCCUUGGAGCCAACUGAGUAUGGACUGAAACCUCCAAGAACUGACUUGUCCUCAGAAAGAGUUGAAGAUCUCUAAACAAGAGGGUGCUACACCUACCUAAGGAAUCCCUGUUUCCCUGGAUAAGAUCACAUGACAGGGAGCUCCUACCACUGCGGUGCUUUCCAUCUUCCCUGGGAGUAGAGCGCAAUCCCAAGGAGCCAGUCGAGGGCACAGUCACUGGAAUUGUGGUCAUCCAGGAAAGACCGAACUGAGCAUGUUUGCAUGGAGGAUGCCCUGGACCUGCGUGUAGGAAGUUGGCCUGUCCGUACUUCCUGUGGUCCCUACGGAGUGACCAUGUGGCGUGGCUUGUUACCAAUUGUAUAUCCUCUUGCAUUCUAAAUUGAGAGUCGACAGCCAUGGAGGAACUCUCUGAAAUGAUUAAUGGUCCUUCUAAAAUAGAAAAUUGAAUUAGGGCUUAGUUAUUUUCAUUUGCAAAAGCUAAUUGAAGCACAUAUUUAUGAAAUUAGACAUGGAGAAGUGAACCACCACCACCCACUCAACCACAACAAGAACGAUUUUUUUCACUUCUGAGACUGGAUAAAAGAGAAAUUAAUAUGCA
Long non-coding RNA from Cavia porcellus (domestic guinea pig), 701 nucleotides. RefSeq lists it as uncharacterized. Lineage: Eukaryota; Metazoa; Chordata; Mammalia; Rodentia; Caviidae. The transcript has 6 exons. The record is from RefSeq and is a predicted model, not a curated record.